AGGACGAACGCCGGCGGCGUGCUUAACACAUGCAAGUCGAGCGGAAAGGCCCUUCGGGGUACUCGAGCGGCGAACGGGUGAGUAACACGUGAGCAACCUGCCCUUAGCUCCGGGAUAGCUCCGGGAAACCGGAAUUAAUACCGGAUAUGACCUAGGCCGACAUCGGCUGUGGUGGAAAGUUUUUCGGCUGGGGAUGGACUCGCGGCCUAUCAGCUUGUUGGUGGGGUAAUGGCCUACCAAGGCGACGACGGGUAGCCGGCCUGAGAGGGCGACCGGCCACACUGGGACUGAGACACGGCCCAGACUCCUACGGGAGGCAGCAGUGGGGAAUCUUGCGCAAUGGGCGAAAGCCUGACGCAGCGACGCCGCGUGGGGGAUGAAGGCCUUCGGGUUGUAAACCCCUUUCAGCAGGGACGAAGCGAAGUGACGGUACCUGCAGAAGAAGCGCCGGCUAACUACGUGCCAGCAGCCGC
This 473-nucleotide ribosomal RNA is filed under the name uncultured bacterium. Its description in RNAcentral is "SSU rRNA". It matches the Rfam family "Bacterial small subunit ribosomal RNA", at positions 26 to 518 of the family's 1533-position model. The record is from RNAcentral.